This is a non-coding RNA of Sus scrofa (pig), 5493 nucleotides long. The record is from RefSeq and is a predicted model, not a curated record. NCBI's taxonomy places the organism in Eukaryota, Metazoa, Chordata, Mammalia, Artiodactyla, Suidae.
UGCAGCAGGGAUUUUUGUCCAGGGAAGGCUCCUCAGGAAGGAGGAAGGGAUCAGAAGCGGGAUCAGGUGCCAGGCUCACCCUCCCACCUGAAAAGCGUUCCCUAAUGGGGGCCGCCAUGUUGAUGCUCUGGGACCCGCCUCCUCCGCCACAGCUGAUUGGGGGAGAACCAGGUCACCUGACUCAAGCUAAGCCAAUCAGAUUCCUAACCCCCCCCCACAAAGAAGCCACUCUUGCAUCUUUGACAUGGAAGGUAGCCGGGCUGGGAUUAAGGCGCUCGUUUCUCAACAGUGUGACCUCAGGCAACUUGGACCUCUCUGUGGUUUGGUUUCCUUCUCUGGAAGUCGGAAGGAUGAAAGCAGCGCCUUCCUCCAUGGCCUCUGCGGGAUUAUGCGAAAUCCUGGUGGCGACGCUUUUUGCCCAAGAGCUGACACGCAGAAAAUGGCUGGGCAAACAGCAGCCGGCUUUGCUGGUGGUACGGACGGAGCGAUGGGACUUGUGGCCGUGCAGGGGCCACCUCCUGCCUUCUACGUGAGAGAGAGGGAUGGGAGAACGAGCCAGGGAGAGGGAGCGGGAAGGGGGGGGGAGAGAGAAAACACUGGGUUCUUGACAGCUUUCCAGAACUUUCUUCCAAGUGAUAUGAGACUUGGCUGUCCUCCCUGUAUUGCGGUUCAAGGAAACAGCUCCUGGGUCCCUCGUCCCUGGCUGCCCCUGACUUUGCCCUGGCUAGACAAAUGUGGUUUUGGUUUUUGUAAUCCAAACCCCAGCAAACCAAACCAAGACAAUAUACCACCACCAGCAGCAGCAAAACACAUUGAGAGAGUGUGAAGGCCCCAUGGAAUUCACUGGAACCACCUUUGAACCAGGGAUUUCCUGUGUGGGACCCCUUGGCCACAUAAAGGUCUAAGUCCCAGCGUGGGGCAGCCCCUGAGGAUCUAAGCAGCCCUCCUGCCUGUGACCGUCCAGAAGCCUCAUGGUCCGGGAACACACACCCAGGCCUCCUGCUCCCAGAUGGGCAGGCAUCUGGAAAGUUCCACACACAGCCCAGGAGCUUGAUGAACAGGGGCCUUGAGAUGGGUCAGUCCCUGACCUCGAGGCGCUGCCCUGGCCAGGCCGGGGCUGGGGAAUGUGUAAGAGCGGAGUCAGCUGGGGAAUUAAAAUCUCAGGGGUUCUGUGCCCAGCUGAGUGCUGACAUCUGGCAUCCACUGGUCCUCGGCAACUGGUCGGGAAGAUGAAAGAAUGGAGACUCAGGUCUUGCAAGUGUCUGGCUCAAGUUCACUUACUGAGGGGAGAGCCCGGGCUUCUUUCCUCCUGAAAUCAAUGUCAUUAACACCUCCAGACACAAACAAGGCCUCAAAAGGGGAAGAAAGACCCUCUUUGGACUCAGGAGCCAGCUACCACUGUCUUAGCUUUUUGAGGGGGCAGUGGUGGGCGGGGGGGGGGGUCUAGAGUAUUUUAAAGGGCUCAUCCUCUGUGUCACCUGUGACUGCUUCAGAAUGCAUCUCUAACAGAUGAGGGUGGUGGGUGUCCUUUGAACGUAACCGUAAGGUCGUUACCAUGGGACCACCUGGAUGGGAGAGGUCACGCUGGAAUCACCACAUCCUGCGCUUUGAGAGGGAGCACGGUCCCAGCCCAGGCCUGUUCUUCCUCGCAGGCAAGUUCCCUAGAGCAGCAGUUCCCAGAGGGGGCUCCUGGGACCAGUCGCAUCAGCACUGGCAUUGCCAUCGCUGGGGACCUCGUUAGAAAUGCAGGUUCUCAGGCUGCCCGAGCCCUCCCGAGGGAGGGACUCUGGGGCUGGGCCUGGCAGCCUGUGUGGCAUGCCCUCCCUGACUCUGAUGCCCGCUCUUGGGGGAGAUGAUAACACAGGGAGGUGGUUCCCUCUUGCUUGUCUGUUUAUUAUUUAUGCAGGUCCUGGAUCCUUCCCCAGAGGAUGCUGAGGGGUUGGUCUUGAGUGGUUUUGCCUUCCAGCAGACUCAGGAGCCCAGCCGUCAGUGGGCAUGGGAGAGAAGAGUCGGGGGUAAGCCUCUGAGAGGACAGAGCGGCCAAUCCAGUGGUGUAAUCAGGCCAAGUUACGAAGUGAGACCCCCCCCCCCCCCGGCCUGGACACACCAGAGUGGGGGUGGCGUCUCCCAAGCUUGACAGGAAGCUGCAAAAAUCACACAGGAAGGCCCUGGGUACCUUUCACUCAGCUGUCUCCCAGGUCGCAUCUCAUGUAACCACCGUGCCAGAUGGAAGCCAGGAAACUGCCCUGCUUGGUGUGGGAGCGAGGUCUCUGUGCCCCUGAUCUCAGGUGUGGACUCCUAUCAAGUACGGGCUCCGUCACCACGUGGCUGUCCUCACUGCCUUUGUAGUCACCCCAUCCCUGACCCCUGCCAGCCGCCAGCCUGCCCUCCAUCUCUGUAAUUGCGUCAUGUCGAGAAUGUUCUGUAGGCGGAAUCCCACGCUGUGUGGUUGUUUCAGAUUCGCACCUGUUCUUCCCAGAGUAUCCAUGUGUGUGUGCCUUUGCUCCGUCGCUUUUUCGCCCCCUCCCCCCUUUCCUGAAACCCUUCAGCGUGCCCUUCCAAAGGGGCAUUCUCUCACCACCAGAGUGCCCUGAGCAGCCUCAGAAGUUGACGUCAUUCCGGAGUCUUCCCUCCAGGCCUUGGGUGAAGUCAGCUGUUGUCCCCUUCACGGCCUUGAUAGCAGACGAUAAAGCCUUUUCCCAGCUCCAAGGCUGAUUCAGGAUCACAAAUUACAUUUGAGUGUUACGACUCUUUGGUCUCUCUGGAACAUCCCACGGCCUUUCUUUGCCUUUCCUGACAAUUCUGAAGAGCACAAGCCAGUUAUUUCCUAGGAUGCCCCUCCGAGGGCAUUGCCGUUUCCUCAUGAUGGGGCUUGGGUUCCGCCCUUGGCCUGGAAUUCCCUGAAAUGAAGCUCUGUCCCCUCGGGCGCGUGUCCCAGGCACAUGAUGUCGUUGGUCCUGGUGAGCCUCAUCCUUUGGUCAAGGUGGGGCCUGGCAGGUUUCUCCACUGCUCCGCUUUGUGACUCAUCGCUCUCUUGGGUCUUGAGAUGGUGUAUGUAUCUUAUUGCUAAGAUCUCAUCUGCCUUCUCUUUCAGAUGUUAACAGAAUUUUUUUACUGCAGCAGAAUUUACCUACAGAAAGGCACACAGAAUGCCAGUUCUGCUCCAUGAGAUGUUACAUAGUGGACACCUGGACACUGAAGCCUGGGCUGAGAGGGAGGGAGGGUUGGGCCCUGGCGGAGAGACCUGUGAAGGUCAAAAGGAUGGCGCUCAGGGUGUUUGACAAACCGCCAGGAGGCUGGCAGGGAGGGGCAGGCUUCUCAGAGAACUGGCCCCACGCCUUCUGCACAAUGUAACUGGGGACCCUGGGACUCUCCAAACGUUCAGAGGGAGCCCCUGAGAACUUUAAACUCUAUUGUAUCCAAAAAAAAAAAAAAUAGAAAUUGUACAUUUAGCUUCCCGUCCAUCUCCUCAAUUUACAUAUAAACGCAUCCGUUCACCAUUCGACCAACACAUAUUCAGAGCAUUCCUUAGAAAUUUAUCUUCAUUGAGAAAAAACCCACAUGACAUAAAAGUCACCAUUUUGACUUUCUGAAAGUGUGCGGUGCAGUGGGCUUUAAUACAUUUGCGAGGCCCUGCAACCAGCCCCUCUAACUCCAAAAUAUCAUCGUCACCCCAAAAAGAAAAUGUAUACUUUCUAAAUUUUGCUCUCUUCCCAGCGCCUGGCAGUCACUUGUCUUCCUCUCUGGGGAUUUGUUUCUUCUGGACGUUUCAUGUAAAGGGACUCCUACGUUGAGUGGCCUCUGUGUCGGGCUUUUUCCACACAAAUGUGAUGCUUUCAAGGUUCAGCCAUGUUAUCGUGGGGUCAGCACUUGCUUCCUUUCAAGGCUGAAUCAUAGCCCAUGGCCAAGAUGGACCACAUUCUGUUCAUCCAUUCGCUGCUGUUGGACAUUUGGGUUGUUUGUGCUUUGGUGCCUUCUUUUAAGCUCAUAAAAGUAAUAGAAUACCAUGGCUUUGUGGAAACCAUGGGGACAGUGGGGACACCUGUGCUGGAGAUCUCCCGUGGUCCAGGGACAAGGAGGGGCCUCUCAGGAAAAGAGCAACUCAGUUCAAACUUGAAGCAUGAGUGGGAGUUAGCAGGGCAAGAAUUUGGGGGCAAGGGGCCCUCUGGGGAGUGGCCCUGGCCAAGGGGACAGUGGGGGCAGUGGCCGGAGAGGGGAGGGUACACAUCCUUUGAGAAGGGAAGGGGUCUGGCGUGGUCUAAGUGGGGAGACUGGGAGAGUGAGGGGCCGGGGCUUGGUGACCCUGCUGUGGCAUUUAAAAGAGUCAACUUUGAGGCAGAGUCACAAGGUGCAAGGCGGCAGCUUGAGCAGCUAUGAGUCUCCAAGCAAGGCUGGGAUGGGAGGGAGGGGACACUACCUGCACUGGGCCUGAGUGGGUUUCCUGGAGGCAAGGACUUGCAGGGCUAAAAUUGGGGCCAUCCCAACUGAAGCAGGACACUUGGUCACCUCCCAGUGACCACGGGAAGCACGAACUGCUGAGUUUAAAUAGGAAGGCCCUCGGCCUCUUUGCUUUGAACUGGAAUUCUCUUGAUUUUGGAUGACAGGUCUGCAUGCUUUGGAAUUGAGAAAAAUGAGAAAUGUUGAAAGGGAGUCAAAUUUCUACUCUAGGACAUCACGGAAACGGUAAAUCUCUAAGGACUGUAAAAGGAUCAGUGGUUGCCAGGGAUUUGGGUUCAAGAGGAUGAGAAGUUGGAGCACCGGGGAUUUUUAGGCAUUGAACUAUUUGUUUGAUACUGUAAUGUAGAUAUGACAUAUAAUGACAUUGUAUGUGACAUUUGUCAAAACCUACAGAACAUGAACAUUGAGCGUAAGCCCUCAUGUAAAUGAUGGUCUUCACAGAGGGAGAUCGUCUCCUCCAGCCACUCCACCAGCUUCUAGAAGGUUCUGCGACUCCGCUCCCUGCCAAGGUCAUUCCUUCCUCCUCUUAAAAAUCUUUCAGUAAAUAGAUGUAUUCACGUGCCAGAUCUAAAAAAAUUGGUAGCUACCUGAAGUGUGAGAAGUAGGACAAUUCCCAGGCCUGUCCUAGCCGGUGGGGACAUGUCACCUCGUGAUUGAUGCGUGGCAUCUGGCCUGGGUGUAGGAGGAGGGGGUGGCGGGGGGUAUUUACUUCUUGGGAUCUGGCAAGUCCCAGGGCACCUGAUGUCCAGUUCCACAGGGCUGCACCUUGUCCCACCUGUAGAAUUUAGCCCCUUGGGAGCCCAGAAGUGCCCCCCGCUGUGGGCAGUGCUCAGCCGGUGUUGCCCCAUCAUUCAGCAGACAGUGACUGUGGAAGUGACAGAGCCUGACAGGAAGAGUGCCUGGAAUGAAGCUCAGCAAGCGCAUGGGGCUUGACAGCGACCUGGAGAUAAGAUACAGGGGAGCAGAAAUAGAGUCUUUUGUGUUCAGGGGCUGAUCUCCAGUGUCACAUGACAGGUGAUUAAAAAAUAUUUGCUA